GAUGAACGCUGGCGGCGUGCCUAAUACAUGCAAGUCGAGCGAACGGACGAGAAGCUUGCUUCUCUGAUGUUAGCGGCGGACGGGUGAGUAACACGUGGAUAACCUACCUAUAAGACUGGGAUAACUUCGGGAAACCGGAGCUAAUACCGGAUAAUAUUUUGAACCGCAUGGUUCAAAAGUGAAAGACGGCCUUGCUGUCACUUAUAGAUGGAUCCGCGCUGCAUUAGCUAGUUGGUAAGGUAACGGCUUACCAAGGCAACGAUGCAUAGCCGACCUGAGAGGGUGAUCGGCCACACUGGAACUGAGACACGGUCCAGACUCCUACGGGAGGCAGCAGUAGGGAAUCUUCCGCAAUGGGCGAAAGCCUGACGGAGCAACGCCGCGUGAGUGAUGAAGGUCUUCGGAUCGUAAAACUCUGUUAUUAGGGAAGAGCAUAUGUGUAAGUAACUGUGCACAUCUUGACGGUACCUAAUCAGAAAGCCACGGCUAACUACGUG
This 497-nucleotide ribosomal RNA is filed under the name uncultured bacterium. RNAcentral's name for it is "partial 16S ribosomal RNA". It matches the Rfam family "Bacterial small subunit ribosomal RNA", at positions 28 to 507 of the family's 1533-position model. The record is from RNAcentral.